RNAcentral lists this ribosomal RNA (428 nucleotides) under Acidobacteriota bacterium. RNAcentral describes it as "Acidobacteria bacterium partial 16S ribosomal RNA". It matches the Rfam family "Bacterial small subunit ribosomal RNA", at positions 355 to 776 of the family's 1533-position model. The record is from RNAcentral. Lineage: Bacteria; Pseudomonadati; Acidobacteriota.
UGGGGAAUUUUGGACAAUGGGGGAAACCCUGAUCCAGCCAUCCCGCGUGUGCGAUGAAGGCCUUCGGGUUGUAAAGCACUUUUGGCAGGAAAGAAACGUCAUGGGUUAAUACCCCGUGAAACUGACGGUACCUGCAGAAUAAGCACCGGCUAACUACGUGCCAGCAGCCGCGGUAAUACGUAGGGUGCAAGCGUUAAUCGGAAUUACUGGGCGUAAAGCGUGCGCAGGCGGUUCGGAAAGAAAGAUGUGAAAUCCCAGAGCUCAACUUUGGAACUGCAUUUUUAACUACCGGGCUAGAGUGUGUCAGAGGGAGGUGAAUUCCGCGUGUAGCAGUGAAAUGCGUAGAUAUGCGGAGGAACACCGAUGGCGAAGGCAGCCUCCUGGGAUAACACUGACGCUCAUGCACGAAAGCGUGGGGAGCAAACAGG